UGAGGAAUAUUGAGCAAUGGGCGCAAGCCUGACUCAGCAACGCCGCGUGGAUGAAGACGGCCUUCGGGUUGUAAAAUCCUUUUCUGAGGGACGAUGAUGACGGUACCUCAGGAAUAAGUUCCGGCUAACUACGUGCCAGCAGCCGCGGUAAAACGUAGGGGACAAGCGUUAUCCGGAUUUACUGGGCGUAAAGCGCCCGUAGGCGGCCGAUCAAGUUGGAUGUGAAAGCUCCCGGCUUAACUGGGAGAGGUCAUUCAAAACUGGUCGGCUUGAGGCUGAAAUAGGAGAGCGGAAUUCCCGGUGUAGUGGUGGAAUGCGUAGAGAUCGGGAGGAACACCAGUGGCGAAAGCGGCUCUCUGGUUCAGCCCUGACGCUGAGGGGCGAAAGCGUGGGGAGCGAACGGG
RNAcentral lists this ribosomal RNA (404 nucleotides) under uncultured bacterium. RNAcentral describes it as "bacterial SSU rRNA". It matches the Rfam family "Bacterial small subunit ribosomal RNA", at positions 355 to 776 of the family's 1533-position model. The record is from RNAcentral.